GACAGAGGAUGCAAGCGUUAUCCGGAAUGAUUGGGCGUAAAGUGUCUGUAGGUGGCUUUUUAAGUCCUCCGUCAAAUCCCAGGGCUCAACCCCGGACAGGCGGUGGAAGCUGACAAGCUGGAGUACGGUAGGGGCAGAGGGAAUUUCCGGUGGAGCGGUUAAAUGCGUAGAGAUCGGAAAGAACACCAACGGCGAAAGCACUCUGCUGGACCGAUACUGACGCUCAGGUGCGAAAGCGUGGGGAGCAAACAGG
This 253-nucleotide ribosomal RNA is filed under the name uncultured bacterium. Its description in RNAcentral is "partial 16S ribosomal RNA". It matches the Rfam family "Bacterial small subunit ribosomal RNA", at positions 524 to 776 of the family's 1533-position model. The record is from RNAcentral.